GACGAACGCUGGCGGCGUGCUUAACACAUGCAAGUCGAACGGAAAGGCCCUGCUUUUGUGGGGUGCUCGAGUGGCGAACGGGUGAGUAACACGUGAGUAACCUGCCCUUGACUUUGGGAUAACUUCAGGAAACUGGGGCUAAUACCGGAUAGGAGCUCCUGCUGCAUGGUGGGGUUUGGAAAGUUUCGGCGGUUGGGGAUGGACUCGCGGCUUAUCAGCUUGUUGGUGGGGUAGUGGCUUACCAAGGCUUUGACGGGUAGCCGGCCUGAGAGGGUGACCGGCCACAUUGGGACUGAGAUACGGCCCAGACUCCUACGGGAGGCAGCAGUGGGGAAUAUUGCACAAUGGGCGGAAGCCUGAUGCAGCAACGCCGCGUGCGGGAUGACGGCCUUCGGGUUGUAAACCGCUUUCGCCUGUGAUGAAGCGUGAGUGACGGUAAUGGGUAAAGAAGCACCGGCUAACUACGUG
This 468-nucleotide ribosomal RNA is filed under the name uncultured bacterium. RNAcentral's name for it is "partial 16S ribosomal RNA". It matches the Rfam family "Bacterial small subunit ribosomal RNA", at positions 28 to 507 of the family's 1533-position model. The record is from RNAcentral.